RNAcentral lists this long non-coding RNA (2492 nucleotides) under Lynx pardinus (Iberian lynx). Lineage: Eukaryota; Metazoa; Chordata; Mammalia; Carnivora; Felidae. The record is from RNAcentral.
UCUGGGCGGUGGAAAUGUGGAAGGUUUCGUGCUCCUACUGGGACAACGUCGCUGCCUCGACCCCACAUCGCGCUCUUCUUGGUGAAUAAAGCAGCCGAGAGAGGCACCGAGAGCCCACCGGUGAGGACCCCAGGAGAAGCCCCCGGCUCUGCGCGGACAGCCUGCCCCCCGCCGUCCUGUGCGGGGGGGGGGGGGGGGGGGGGGGGGGGGAAUGAUGACCCGGCCUUCCCUGACGCCGUGAGACAGCCACUGGCUGGGGCCAUUUCUCAACAGAAUGAAUAAGUUAACUAAUACACAGUUCUUUCGUAUGGUUUCUAAAAUAAUAAAACUGCCUAGGCAACCGUCCGAGAAUCAGACAGACAGACAGCUUCUAAGUUCUGCUUUUCUCGGUCUCAUUUGCGUCUUUUGUUUUUAUUUCUUUUCUCAUGAUGUAUUUGAUGCUGGUUAAAGGACCGCUGAUCAGUCUCUAAGGGACAUGAAAAGCUUGCAAGACUAUAAAUAUUUGAGAAGGCGGUACCUGGACAUUUCCAUUUAAAGGUGUCCGUAACGUUUUUUUGGAUCGGCAAGCUACGCAGAUUUCUAAAUGCGAAAAGUACAUGGUGACAUCUAAGUGUUAAUUAAUCAUUUAUUUUGUUACUUUGGAAACUAGAAGCUGAUCGUAGUUGACAUCUGAGGCUAGUGGAGACAUGAUCCCUGUCUUUCCUGCCCAGUGGUCAGGGCACGCCUCUCAGUCUCUGUUCUCUCGAAGCGUAAGUGAAUUCUGUGCAGAUUGUCACUUUCCUGUCACUGGUGUGCAUCCUGCUGGGCGCUAAUCAGCUUGUAGUCCUAGUUGACUUAAGGUUUGGGGACCCCAAGGCCGUGUGGACAACCCCACAUCAGCAACACAUUGGGUAGGAGAGGGUCAGAUGCCUGGCAAUAGGCGUUUCAGUGAUUUUUCCAAACAGGAUUGAUUUACCAGUUAAUCUUGACAAUUGCUGGGUGUUUCUUGGCAUUUACUCAAUAGAAUUAUGGACGUUAGAGACUUUCUGAGACAGCAGUUGUUCCAUGGCUGAAGAUAGUUUCUACCCCAAUUUUCCACUUAGGUUUUGAAGAACUGCAGUGUUUUCAACUUCCCUUAAAAGGUGUUCCCAGGUAACAGAAAACAGGUUGAAAAAAUGCUAAAGCCCACUUAAUUUUCCUUUUCGAAGCUUAACGCAGUUAAUUCGCUUUUUCUGGCAAGCGGCUCCCUCUCGGUGGAAAGACCGAGAGGGCUCGUCCUGACAGAGAUCCUCGACCCAGGUGUGAAACCGGGUUUUCUUCUGAGGAAAAGCCUUUCUUGGAAUAUUGACUUCCCCCGAAUCGUUUCAGGGCUUUGGCUGGUGCAGAGUUGACAGAGGCCUGGACAUCUAUAUGCGACAGAAAGGAACCCUCGCCAGAAACUUCUCUGCGUGAUGUUGCUGGCAGAUCAGCGGGCCAUUAUCAGCGGGCACCUCUGCGGAGCGGAAGAUGCCCAAAGGGUGGUUGAAAUGACUGAUAUUUGACAAACACUUAUCUUCACAACGUAAACACCUGUUUCCUGGCAACCACGAAAGCCCAUCCCUCGAUUCGGUUUUCUCACGUAUUACAGAAAAUAAAAAUCCAGAUGAAGAAAACAGACCCUCUUUGCCGGGUGCUGCCAUUACGGCCCUUGUGCGAUCAUUAUUCGCAUCGCUGUCGAUACCAUAAAUUUGAAGUGAUCUCAGUGACAUUAAUAAGGAUUUCUGGCCGGCAUGUGUUUGUGAUGUGGCCUCCCGGGCUCGGUCUGUCACACCAGCGUUCACCGCGUCGUGCUCUCCGAAGGGCAACUUUGCUCUCAAAACCCAUGGAGAAAGAACCCCCUAAGACUCCCCACGCCCCAGACCAGGCACUCUUACCUGCUCCUGGGCCUGAAUUCAAUUUCCACUUAGGUCAGAAGCACUUCUGUGAGUGGAAGGCGUCUUGAUUCAACACGAAAGGCCGUCGGUCUCGCAACACUGAAAAGAAAGGCGGCCUUUUAUACGCCACGGGAUUCACCAGCCCCUUUGCUGAACCCACUUGCCCCCAAACUCCCUGCCCCAUUAACCAGCACACGUGGGACUCUGGCUGAAUGUUCAUUACAAACAGAGUUUAGUCUCUGCUCAGGAACGGGCUCGGGUUUUCGCUGGUUAAGAUCAAGGGUCUUGUUCAAGGUGCACAUGUGUAUUAGUGUUAAUAAUCCAGUGUCACUCAGUGAAUGCCGUACUAAUUUAAAACCAUGCUCUGUAAACCUCUGCCUCUCGCGGCCACACAUCCAAAUGUCCCGGAAAGAGAAUCGGUUAAGAUUAGCUUAUCUGUGGCUUACGUGUCUCAAAGGCCAUCAACAAUAUAUUGCUUGGAAUUCUUAGAAAUCAGUUGUGUCCAUUUAAAUUGGUUUGUUACUAAAGUAAUGAAGAGGGAGCCUGGGAGCCAUUUAGAGGCACUUUGUUAUGACCGAAGCUCCCGGUCCUAGAACUGUA